Molecule: non-coding RNA, 22 nt
Filed under: Arabidopsis thaliana (thale cress)
Lineage: Eukaryota; Viridiplantae; Streptophyta; Magnoliopsida; Brassicales; Brassicaceae
Source: RNAcentral
CGCAGACGCAGCUGCCUCCGGA